Long non-coding RNA from Dermacentor albipictus, 522 nucleotides. RefSeq lists it as uncharacterized. NCBI's taxonomy places the organism in Eukaryota, Metazoa, Arthropoda, Arachnida, Ixodida, Ixodidae. The record is from RefSeq and is a predicted model, not a curated record.
CGAUCUUUUUUUUUCUAGCUCUGGGCGUGCAUGCGUCGUAAAGUCAUGUGUGUUGCUCACAACCUUCAAACAUAAAUUCAAGAGACUGCGGAGUAGUCUAUUGUUUCUGAUGCGCAGUGCACAUAUAAAGGUUACGCUGGCGGUCAACAGUGGUUGUCGUCCACGAGGCGUAUAUGCAUGUUACAGGGAAUUGGCUACGAAUGCAACGGGUCCGACGCCAGCGCGACAACGAACGUGCAACUCUGGCGAGUGCGCUCCCAUCGAUAUGUGGCCACAAUGCUCAGGAUCGAACCGGCAACCUCGGUCUCAACAGCACAGCGCCUUAGGCUACAGCGCAGCACCGGGUUCGUCGCUUUCCGAACCAGCGACACGCAACAAGAACAGUUCACGACAAAAAAAGGUGGGUACGUUACGUCACAAUGGGCUGACCCGGCAACCAGACAUCACCGUGAUGUUCAAGCUGAAGUCAGCACUCAAGGUCAAAGCAGUCUGCAAACGUGAAUAAAGAGCCGUUCGCAUCUU